AGAACGAACGCUGGCGGCGUGGAUAAGACAUGCAAGUCGAACGCGAUUUAUCAGGUUAGCAAUAACUUGGUGGAUUGAGUGGCGAAAGGGUGCGUAACACGUGGGAAUUUACCAAGAAGUGGGGAAUAGCUCGACGAAAGUCGAAUUAAUACCGCAUGUGAUCGAAAGAUCAAAGUCGGGGACCGCAAGGCCUGACGCUUUUUGAGAAGCCCGCGGCCCAUCAGCUAGUUGGUGAGGUAAUGGCUCACCAAGGCUAUGACGGGUAGCUGGUCUGAGAGGACGACCAGCCACACUGGAACUGAGACACGGUCCAGACACCUACGGGUGGCAGCAGUCGAGAAUUUUUCACAAUGGACGAAAGUCUGAUGGAGCGACGCCGCGUGGAGGAUGAAGGUUCUUGGAUUGUAAACUCCUGUCACUGCAGACAAGGGUGCCCUAUUUAAAGAUGUGGCAUUUG
Molecule: ribosomal RNA, 457 nt
Filed under: uncultured bacterium
Lineage: Bacteria
Description: SSU rRNA
Rfam family: Bacterial small subunit ribosomal RNA
Source: RNAcentral